UAGGGAAUCUUCGGCAAUGGGGGGAACCCUGACCGAGCAACGCCGCGUGAGUGAAGAAGGUUUUCGGAUCGUAAAGCUCUGUUGUUAAGGAAGAACGAGUGUGAGAAUGGAAAGUUCAUGCUGUGACGGUACUUAACCAGAAAGGGACGGCUAACUACGUGCCAGCAGCCGCGGUAAUACGUAGGUCCUGAGCGUUGUCCGGAUUUAUUGGGCGUAAAGCGAGCGCAGGCGGUUAGAAAAGUCUGAAGUGAAAGGCAGUGGCUCAACCAUUGUAGGCUUUGGAAACUGUUUAACUUGAGUGCAGAAGGGGAGAGUGGAAUUCCAUGUGUAGCGGUGAAAUGCGUAGAUAUAUGGAGGAACACCGGUGGCGAAAGCGGCUCUCUGGUCUGUAACUGACGCUGAGGCUCGAAAGCGUGGGGAGCGAACAGG
RNAcentral lists this ribosomal RNA (429 nucleotides) under Bacteroidota bacterium. RNAcentral describes it as "Bacteroidetes bacterium partial 16S ribosomal RNA". It matches the Rfam family "Bacterial small subunit ribosomal RNA", at positions 355 to 776 of the family's 1533-position model. Lineage: Bacteria; Pseudomonadati; Bacteroidota. The record is from RNAcentral.